This 449-nucleotide ribosomal RNA is filed under the name uncultured bacterium. RNAcentral's name for it is "partial 16S ribosomal RNA". It matches the Rfam family "Bacterial small subunit ribosomal RNA", at positions 29 to 523 of the family's 1533-position model. The record is from RNAcentral.
AACGAACGCUGGCGGCAGGCUUAACACAUGCAAGUCGAACGAGAUCUUCGGAUCUAGUGGCAGACGGGUGAGGAACACGUGGGAACAUCCCUUUCAGUUCGGAAUAACGUUGGGAAACUAACGCUAAUACCGGAUACGUCCUUCGGGAGAAAGAUUUAUCGCUGAAAGAUUGGCCCGCGUCUGAUUAGCUAGUUGGUGAGGUAAUGGCUCACCAAGGCUACGAUCAGUAGCUGAUCCGAGAGGAUGAUCAGCCACAUUGGGACUGAGACACGGCCCAAACUCCUACGGGAGGCAGCAGUGGGGAAUAUUGGACAAUGGGCGCAAGCCUGAUCCAGCCAUGCCGCGUGAGUGAUGACGGCCUUCGGGUUGUAAAGCUCUUUUGCCCGGGAAGAUAAUGACUGUACCGGAAGAAUAAGCCCCGGCAAACUUCGUGCCAGCCGCCGCAGUAA